UACAGAGGGUGCGAGCGUUGUCCGGAAUCACUGGGCGUAAAGGGCGCGUAGGUGGCCCGACCAGUCCGUGGUGAAAGCUCGACGCUCAACGUCGAGUCGGCCAUGGAUACUGUUGGGCUGGAGCACUGUAGAGGCUCAUGGAAUUCCGGGUGUAGCGGUGGAAUGCGUAGAUAUUCGGAAGAACACCAGUGGCGAAGGCGACUCACUGGCCCGUUACUGACGCUGAGGCGCGAAAGCGUGGGGAGCAAACAGG
RNAcentral lists this ribosomal RNA (253 nucleotides) under uncultured bacterium. RNAcentral's name for it is "partial 16S ribosomal RNA". It matches the Rfam family "Bacterial small subunit ribosomal RNA", at positions 524 to 776 of the family's 1533-position model. The record is from RNAcentral.